This 433-nucleotide ribosomal RNA is filed under the name uncultured bacterium. Its description in RNAcentral is "partial 16S ribosomal RNA". It matches the Rfam family "Bacterial small subunit ribosomal RNA", at positions 29 to 507 of the family's 1533-position model. The record is from RNAcentral.
AACGAACGCUGGCGGCAGGCCUAACACAUGCAAGUCGAGCGCGCCCUUCGGGGUGAGCGGCGGACGGGUGAGUAACGCGUGGGAACGUGCCCUUUUCUACGGAAUAGCCUCGGGAAACUGAGAGUAAUACCGUAUACGCCCUUUGGGGGAAAGAUUUAUCGGAAAAGGAUCGGCCCGCGUUGGAUUAGGUAGUUGGUGGGGUAAUGGCCUACCAAGCCGACGAUCCAUAGCUGGAUUGAGAGGAUGAUCAGCCACACUGGGACUGAGACACGGCCCAGACUCCUACGGGAGGCAGCAGUGGGGAAUCUUAGACAAUGGGGGCAACCCUGAUCUAGCCAUGCCGCGUGAGUGAUGAAGGCCUUAGGGCUGUAAAGCUCUUUCAGCUGGGAAGAUAAUGACGGUACCAGCAGAAGAAGCCCCGGCUAACUCCGUG